UAGGGAAUCUUCCGCAAUGGACGCAAGUCUGACGGAGCAACGCCGCGUGAGUGAAGAAGGAUUUCGGUUCGUAAAACUCUGUUGUUAGAGAAGAACAGCGCAUAGAGUAACUGUUAUGCGUGUGACGGUAUCUAACCAGAAAGCCACGGCUAACUACGUGCCAGCAGCCGCGGUAAUACGUAGGUGGCAAGCGUUGUCCGGAAUUAUUGGGCGUAAAGCGCGCGCAGGCGGACUAGCCAGUCAGUCUUAAAAGUUCGGGGCUUAACCCCGUGAUGGGAUUGAAACUACUAGUCUAGAGUAUCGGAGAGGAAAGUGGAAUUCCAUGUGUAGCGGUGAAAUGCGCAGAGAUAUGGAGGAACACCAGUGGCGAAGGCGACUUUCUGGUCUGUAACUGACGCUGAUGUGCGAAAGCGUGGGGAUCAAACAGG
RNAcentral lists this ribosomal RNA (428 nucleotides) under Bacteroidota bacterium. Its description in RNAcentral is "Bacteroidetes bacterium partial 16S ribosomal RNA". It matches the Rfam family "Bacterial small subunit ribosomal RNA", at positions 355 to 776 of the family's 1533-position model. The record is from RNAcentral. Lineage: Bacteria; Pseudomonadati; Bacteroidota.